Salvia miltiorrhiza (redroot sage) is the source of this 330-nucleotide long non-coding RNA. RefSeq lists it as uncharacterized. The transcript is spliced from 3 exons. NCBI's taxonomy places the organism in Eukaryota, Viridiplantae, Streptophyta, Magnoliopsida, Lamiales, Lamiaceae. The record is from RefSeq and is a predicted model, not a curated record.
GUUACAUUAUAUUCUCAUGGUAUUGUUCAUUAAAAAAACAGGUGGUAACUUUUGUUUCUAUGUUUAUGUGCUACAGCCUCGGCUCUAUGUUGGCAGGGGAAUGCAUGAAAGUACCUUUUCUCUCUUCAAGUAUACAUUAUUCUGGGUGCUCCUUACCAUUACAAAGUUAGCUUUCAGUUUCUAUAUCGAGGGAUGUUACUUUCAAAAAGGGAGGAAGAUCAAGAUGAAGAUGAGCGCGAAGGAAGCCUUUGAGAGGUCGAUGAGGACUUUGUCGGAGUGGAUAAGCCAGGAAGUGAAUCGAAAUAUGUAAUGAUCUUAGAUACUUGAUAC